RNAcentral lists this long non-coding RNA (6401 nucleotides) under Sus scrofa (pig). RNAcentral describes it as "lncRNA (ENSSSCG00025074189.1)". The record is from RNAcentral. Lineage: Eukaryota; Metazoa; Chordata; Mammalia; Artiodactyla; Suidae.
CCUGUGGCAUAUGGAAGUUCCCAGGCUAGGUGUCAAUUCAGAGCUGCAUCUGCCGGCCUACACCACAGCCGCAGCAGUGUGGGAUUGAGUCGUGUCUGUGACCUACACCACAGCAACACCAGAUCCUUAACUCACUGAGUGAGGCCAGGGAUUGAACCCACAUCCUCAUGGAUACUAGUCGGGUUCUCAACAUGCUGAGCCACCACAGGAACUCCCCAAAUUUCUUUGCCAUAAGUUUCACCAAUUGGUGGCCCACAUUUUAAAGACUUGCUAUAUAUGGUGUAUUAGAAAUGUCCUGAUGUGGAAAGUUUUAAUCAAUCAAAUCAGGCUUGAUUUAGUGGGAUUUUGUGGACAAAUCUUUGUCCUCAGCUGUAUAAUAAUUACAAGCUGUUUUACCAGUGGAUAAGGAAAGGAUUACUCUCCUCUUUGAAAAUGGUAACUUUAUAAUUACAUGUAUUUACUUGCCUUAUCAGAAUAGAGUUUACCAGCUGAGACACAGGAUUAUUUUUAUUUAAAAGACUCCUGGCUAAAUUGAACAAGCACACAUUUGAGGAGAGUUUAGCUUUUGUAGACAAUUGUUCCUGGCAUGAAUAAAGAAUAAAUAAUCUGAAAUGGAUUUUGUUUUUUCCUUCCUUUCUGAAAUGUAUAUAUACUUGGCACAAAAGUUACCUAGAUGGUUAAUUCAGCCCAACCCAUGAUACUAUUUAGAAAUGUACAGAUAUUUAUCAACAACUUGGUGUAUUCAGUGUGCCAACGUGCUUUAGCCAAAGCUUUGGAUUUCAUGUGGGAAGUUUAAUGGUUGUGAAUCAGAAUCUGCCAAAACUUUAAGACAACUUUUCUGUUUAGAAUUCACUUUUCCUUCUUGCUGGCCCACUAAAAUCUGCAACUCACUUCUGUGUCAUAUAUGCCUGAAGAGGACUAUGCUUUUCUCUCAAGUGUUUGUUACAAUUCCAAAUUAAGUUCAUAAGGAAAUAAUAAUAAAUCUAGAUAAUCUGGAUUCCAUUUCUCUUAGCCAGAUCUUCUUGAAUUGAUUUUUCCACCCAAUAUCAAAAUUUUGUUUCAGCUACAUAAACAUUUUGCUUCUCUUUAGCCAGAUGUCUUUAUAAACAAGAGUUCCUUCCUUAUCCUUCCCAAUCUCUCUAAUGUUCCCUAAACUCUUUCUAAAAUUGUUGAGAACAUAAACAUCUCUGAGUCAGAAACUUUGUCUUCUGUUUUUUUUAAUUUCCUAAUAAGGCACCAGCACCACUUCUUCGUGAACACUUCCUCAUCCUUGCUUCCUAAAAUACUAACAGAUUGGAGCCAGAGAAAGGCAAAUCAAGUGUCCUUCUUACCAUGAACACAGGGAAAUUGCUGUAUGAUGCUUGGUCUGCUUAUUGAGGAAAGAAACCCCAAGCAUUCAGGCAUUAAGGGACAGCCACAGAGCUUUCAGCUGUAUCCGUCCACUUGGCAGCCAUCCAUUCUGCAAGUCUUCAAUCAUGCUAGGGUGUGAGGCCCAGAGACAGAGCCUUGAUUAUUCCUUUGACUCGCAUCAAAAAGAACCUUGGCAGGUUGACUGUGGCUGACUAGCCUGGAAAAGUUCUCAUUCAGAAUAUUUGAGCCCUAGGCUUGCUGCUCCUACUCUUGAGUCCACAGGGACUAAAGGAUGGCAGGUUCCUGGAUGGAGUGAGCGCAGAUGCCCAGUGGGGCCGGUGGCUGGCUCUGUGUCUGAUGACUCCCCUGACCUCUGUGCCUCUGUAUAUUUCCCGACCAUUCUCCGUACCAAGUUUUUAUCUUCUUUCCCUUCCUGAGUCCCUGCUCCCUUGCAAGUUGAGAGGGACCUGGCCCCCACAUAUACCCCAGCCUGUCCAAGCACAUCUUCCCCUCUCUCCACCCUUCAGUUCUGAUGUUACUGUCAUUGGGAGUGUGGCUCCUGGAGCAGGGCUCUGAUGUUCUCUGUAAGGGCAUGUCCAUUUUCCUCUCUCAUCUUCACUUGUCUUCUGUUCCCACUCUCAUGGUGCCCAUUUUCUGCACACCCGGCUCCUCAUCUCACUUUCUGCCUCACCAUUGUCCACUCCCCUGUCUUCACCUCCUCUCCUACACUGUCCCACAUGGGUGCUUCUUUACUGGGACUGAUUCCAAUUCACACUGGCAUCUAUUGCCUCACCUCCUUUUAGUCACUAGCAUCUUCUCCCUAGUGUUUAAUUCAUCAUCUCCAGGUUAAACCAGAUGAGACAUUGGAGACAAUCCUGUUCUGUCAUCAAGGCUUAAACCCUCUCAUUGUCUCAAUCGAUAAACAUUUCUGAAUGCUGAAGCUUCACCACACUUAAACAUCAGACCAAGUCUCACAGGACCUCCCAAAAGUAUUAGGCUAGCUAAAGCUUUUAUACCUAGUAUUUAAGUUUCCAGGCAAGGAAUCUACUAUAUUUGGCAAUUUGUGUUCUCAUUUUACCCCUAGAUAGUUCAUGUGACUAACUGAAAUUUUUAUGUGGGACAUCUGCUGCCUUGCACAAGAAAAAGACUAAUGCACCUUAAAUAAAGUAGUCACUGUACUUGCAGGACUAGGACUCCUUUAAGAAGGUGGUCUCUGUAUUAUGCACUGUUCUGUUUUGUUCUUAUUGAUGCAAUGACUUGAGACUCUCCAACACCUUAAUAAAAAAGUUUAGUGUAAGGUGUUAAUAGAAUUGCACCUACUCUGACUUUCUCCCUUUGUUCUUCCUUGGCCCCUCCACCCUCUCAGCCUCUCACUAAAGCCGGACUGCUUCCUCUGUGUUCCCUGGACGUCCAGACCCCACAGGCUGCCAAUCUUUUAAGCGUAGGCAAUAACCAUCACUACUGUUUCUACAGUCCAUCCAAUGAGGCCAUGCCAUUGGGGUCUUUGAGGGGACCCAGCAGAUGCUUUCCCAUCUGGGUUCUGAUCCUGAUAAAAAAUAAGAAAAAAAGUCUAAGGAAACCAAAAUAUUACCAUUACUGAUUGAGAAGUUGAAGGAGGCACCUCAUUGUGUACCAUCAAUGAGCUUUCUUACUCUGAACCCCAGAAUUAGACAGCUCUUCACAUCCAGUCAUGGGCACUGCUGAACUUGGGCAGGCCUCCCAUCGCCCUGUGCAGAAACCCUGAGGGAUAGGGGUGACCUGAGAUUACUGUGAGCAGCAGAUCAAGGGAAGCGCCAAGGAAGGGGCUGGACUACACAGCCAGAUAAGCCUCUCCACUGCCACUGGGGAGCCAGCGAUAGUCAAAGAAGAGACAAGGAAUGUUAUGCCAAUUACUGCCUCUCUGCAUGGAAGGAAAGGCCCCUCUCAAGUACAUCAGAGAUCUUUAGUCUGCCUUAGGAGUGAGCUGCCUGCUGGUCAGGUGCCUGCCCCAGCCUAGGCAGUGGACAUCUCUUCCAAAACAGGAGUCUGCAGUUGUUCUCCUGAGCAGAAGCUGGGGGUGGGGCUCUUCAGUAAGGAGCAUGGCAGGUCUGAGGACUGCUUAUGACCUCACAGUACCACCAUCUUUUCCCUGAGUGUUUUCUGAGUGACCAGUCAGAUAAUUUCCUCAUGCCUCUGUUUCCUUAUGGAACACUUGAAAAUCAUACUUGAUCAGCCAUCAAGGUGAGGGAAGAAACACACUUCUAUCAAGGAAAAGAUUCAGGCAGAUUCUGUCUGUGCUAUUGUACAGACAACAGUUGUGUCCUUUAAGAAGCCCCUCCCAGAGAGCACCACCUUGAGGCUGUUUGGGAGCUGAAAGACUGAUUUCCUCAUGGAAUGUUUUAGAACCCGGAUGACAGAUAGCUGUCAUCUCAUGCCACUUAUUAUAUUGGCAGUGGCUGCCUUCAGUGCUGUGCCAAGAAAAAUUCUGAGACUGUAUCCAGCUAGUGGAAAAUAAUUCUGUGAUUAUUAUUGCCCACCACAGAUGUGGGUAAAGAGACUGAGGGCCCUUAAGCCUAGUUUUGACUAUUGUUGGUCCACAGCACAGGUGGAAUUUUCUUCCCUAGACAUACAGCCAUCCCUGGCAUCAGAAGUAGGAAAUGGGGACUUCAAGCUGGAGAAGCACCAAGUGAGACUGGCUUCUUGUCCUCUGCAGCCACAGGGCCAAAACCUUGAUUGUAUAGCACACAGGUCUGCAGACUUUUUCUAUAAAUGGCCAGAUUCUAGUCCUUGUGAGCCAUGUAUUCCCUGUUGUGAUAACUCAGCUCUGCCAUCAUGGUGCCAAAAGGAAUUGGGAAUAGUUGUGCCAUAGUAAAUGUUCUUUUACAGAAGCAGACAGUGGGGUGUGGUUUGUAGCCCAGUGUAGAGAAGAGGCCAACAUUAAGUCCUAGGAUUCUGGAAAACUCCCCCAGUACCUAUGGCUAAAUCCCCCUCCAUCCUCAGCUCUGAAGGAUUUCAUUAAGCACCAACAAAGCAUUUGACAGGCAAUAUUAAGCUCUCAGAAUCAAACUUCCUCUCAGGAAGGUAUUCGCAAUGAUGUCUACUCCGUCAUUCUCACAGGUACAUUCAAAGCAUGCACAGGUACAUUCAAAGCAUGGCAGGUCACUUCUCAUGCAGCAGUGGAGUUCCAAAGUCAGCCUGGCAGACAGAAGCCUCACACCACCACAAUGACCUUUGAAAAUUCCUGCAGUCACCCAAAAAUUAAAACGUACAUGGAUUAAAUGUCAUGAAGUAGACUCGGGGAAGGCAUAAAAGGGAAGUCCACAUGCAAAUGUUUGGGCAUAUGAACAUUCCUUCUUUAAAAGAACACUCCUAUUCCUUCAAGUAUGGACUGUAACAUGCUCCUGCUUGCCUGAGGGUUCCUUCUGUUCUAGUUCAACCUACCUUUGGUUUACAUGAGCAUCUUUGUUGCUUUUUUGAGAGAGUUCAUAUAGUUGAAAACAAGAGCAUAAGUACCUAUCCUAAGCCAUCAACAGUUACAUGUUAAACUUGAUCCUAAACCUGUUUGCAUAAUCAUCAGCACAUGUACACCAUUCAUUGAAAUGUUAUAAAGAAUCUAGCCAUCAGCUUCUUGCCACUGCCGGCUGGCAUCGUAGGAAUGGCUGUCAUGCUCACAACCCUCAGCAUUCAGUGUUUUCUUACCCUGGAAGAUGAAAUCAUUGAAGCAAGUGGGUGCGCAUGAUAGAGCCCCAUGGGCUGGGAUACAAGGUAUUUCAGUAAGAUACUCAAUCCAGCUGCAGUAAUUUUCCUAGGUUGCUCAGCUAGUUGGUAAGGGAGCCAUGUUUAAAUCUCAGCUUCCUCAUCUGUGAAAGGGGGAGUAAAAAGGUGGCAACCUCACAGGGUUAUGGUAAGGAGCAGAUGAGUUUUAAAAUAACCUAGAAUGAUCACUGGCUCAAUAAAUGUUAGCUAUCAUUUUUAUCUGAGCUCCUGUCCACAACUUGGCUGUCUGCAAGGUGUGGGAUGUAAGAUGCCCAUCAUCUCGAAGGAAUGAGGGGCGCGGCUGCACAUGAGCUUUACCUCCGAUGUCCAAUGAAGUAUUCCUUUUCUCACCUUACCGUAACAAGGCACAAGAGAUGUGAUAAGCUUUCUAAAUUUACAUGUCACCAAGAAAAUGGACUUUCUAUAUCUGAUUGUCACUUGAAAGAAUAAUGAAGGAGGAGCAGGGGCCCAGGGAUAGUGGACGUUUGAGAAGAAAUCUUCUGCUUUAUUGAAUUUGGUUUGUUUCCACUGACCUCUCCUGUCCCUGGGGAGGAAAAGAAAAACCCAGUCACUCAAAUCAGGGGUCGAAAUAUUUUUAGGAUUUAUGAGCCAUGCUGUCUGUGUCACAGCUCCUCAGCUCUGCCACUAUAGCACAAAAGCAGCCAUCGACAAUCUGUAAAUGAAUCACUUUGGCUGUGUUCCACUGAAACUUUAUUUAUGGACACUGAAAUUUGAAUUGCAUAUAAUUUUCAUGUAUCACAAAAUAUUAUUCUGAUUUUUCCCCAACUGUUUAAAAAUGUAAAAACUAUUCUUAGCUCACAGGUUGUACAAAGGAGGCAGUAGGCUGGAUUUGUCCCACGGGCUGUGGUUUGCCUGUCCUGACUUAGAGCACCAGACUGAGAGUCAGACCUGUCACUGUUCACUGGUUAUUUGACCAAGUUAUCUCCCAUCCCUGGACUUCAACUUUUUCUAGGGAAAACAAGUGACUUAUCCUAAAGGAUCCCUGAUUCCUUCUAGCACUAAAAGGCCAAGGCUGCAUGGUUUUUAUGUAGCUAUGCACUCAGACAAACCAGGUUCUAGUCCUGGCUCAGCCUCUGAUUUGCUGGGGAAUGUUGGACAAAUUUUCUAUGCAUCCCAAUGCCUCAGUGGUCUCAUCUGUACUGUGGGAAUUAAAAAGCAAUGUUGCUAUGAAGAUUAAAGGGUUGCUAUGAAGAUUAAAGUCAUAGGAUAUUUGUGGACACCUUAACUCAUGUAUCCAACAAAUACUUAUUGUACCUAGUAUAUACUGAAUAGAAUAAGUGCUAACUAUUGUAUUC